CCCUUAGAUGUUCUGGGCCGCACGCGCGCUACACUGAUGCAUUCAACGAGUCUAAAACCUGCUCUGAUAGGGGUGGGUAAUCUUUUGAAUGUGCAUCGUGAUUGGGAUGGAUGAUUGCAAUUUUUCAUCUUCAACGAGGAAUGCCUAGUAAACGCAAGUCAUCAGCUUGCAUUGAUUACGUCCCUGCCCUUUGUACACACCGCCCGUCGCUCCUACCGAUUGAAUGAUCCGAUGAAUAUCAUGGAUUGAGGAUGCAAGCAGGUUCGCCUGUCUUCAUCUUCGAGAAGUGAAGUAAAUCUUAUCAUUUAGAGGAAGGAGAAGUCGUAACA
Molecule: ribosomal RNA, 329 nt
Filed under: uncultured eukaryote
Lineage: Eukaryota
Description: partial 18S ribosomal RNA
Rfam family: Eukaryotic small subunit ribosomal RNA
Source: RNAcentral